Long non-coding RNA from Nelumbo nucifera (sacred lotus), 912 nucleotides. RefSeq lists it as uncharacterized. Lineage: Eukaryota; Viridiplantae; Streptophyta; Magnoliopsida; Proteales; Nelumbonaceae. The record is from RefSeq and is a predicted model, not a curated record.
AGUUUCCAUUUUCCAGCAAUUGUUCUUCAUCGGCAACUGUUAUUGUCUGGUGAAAUUUCUUGUGUUUCCGUUUUGAAGCCCAUUUGUCGAUCGGCGAGUGUUCUUCACUGAGAUAAAGCUUCAUUGGCUGAAAGUAUUAGCUCUCACAGCCAGCAUCUAUAUUACUCAGCAUUCCAGAGUUACCCUGCUUCAUAAGCUACUAACUAGCAUACCUCAAGAAAUGCUUUGACAAGAAAGUGAAGUCAGAAGAACUCCAUCAACUGCAAAGAAAACCUGCAAGUGCCCAACAACCCCAAAGAAAGAGAGAAGGGUUAGCAACAAUUUAGAUACAAGCUGCUUAUAUCCAUUAUGAACAAUGUAAAAGGAACAUGUACAAUCUCAAGCUGCACCAUUGUAUUUCGGAUCUGUGGGGGUCCAGAAUCAUCAAGUUGAAAGACUUUUUAGUUUACAAGGACAGGAGAAGCUGAGCAGUCAAGACCUACACUUUUCCCAACCAUGAAUUGGGAUUUUACAACAUUUUCAAGUAUAUAAGUUUCUACACGAAAUCAUCUUGAUUACUUUUUUUUUUUUGUUGUUUAGGCUACUUGUUUUUGUUUGGACUGAGAAAGAAACAAAACAUUGACAGCAGGUGAUGGAGAUAUCCAUUUGAGUUUAUAAUAUGAUUUUUUAUGUGAUAAAAAAAGUGAAAAAGAAAAAUCCUUUCGGAUGUAUUAGUUAGUUGUUAGUGGGUUGCUUGCUGGCCAUGGCCUUAGUUUGUAUUUGUAUUUGGUACUUUUUAUGUCUUUAAUGCAACCAAAAAUGCACUAAUUUGAAUGCAUGUAAGUGCAAAUAAUUAUGGAUGAAUUGGACUUGACCCAAGUAAGAAGGGCAAUAGGCUUUAUAAAGCCCUUGCUUGAAAAGAACUCAUUUUUA